Molecule: long non-coding RNA, 332 nt
Filed under: Chelonoidis abingdonii (Abingdon island giant tortoise)
Lineage: Eukaryota; Metazoa; Chordata; Testudines; Testudinidae
Description: lncRNA (ENSCABG00000019988.1)
Source: RNAcentral
AGCCGGGCUUGCCAGGCAUCUCAGGUCCUAAGGGUGAUCCGGGUAUACCUGGCAUUGGACUUCCAGGCCCACCAGGCCUAAAAGGUUUCCCAGGAAUGGCUGGCCCCCCAGGAGCACCAGGAGCCCCUGGACGACCAGGGCUCGAAGGGCCACCAGGACAAUCUGGUUUCCCAGGACAAAAGGGGGACCCUGGAUUUGGUGUCCCAGGACCACCUGGGCCACCAGGGCCACCAGGUUUUAAAGGAGCUCAGGGACUGAAAGGUGAUCCUGGCUUCCCAGGAAACCCCGGUUUGCCAGGGCGGCCAGGUUCAGAUGGAAUUCCUGGGCCAAAA